This 388-nucleotide ribosomal RNA is filed under the name uncultured bacterium. Its description in RNAcentral is "bacterial SSU rRNA". It matches the Rfam family "Bacterial small subunit ribosomal RNA", at positions 129 to 507 of the family's 1533-position model. The record is from RNAcentral.
GCCAGUCGUGGGGAUAACGUAGGGAAACUUACGCUAAUACCGCAUGGCCGCCCGUUCGGGGGGAAAGCCCGGGGGACCUUCGGGGCCUGGCGCGAUUGGAUGAGCCCACGUCGGAUUAGCUAGUUGGCGGGUAAAGGCCCACCAAGGCGACGAUCCGUAGCUGGUCUGAGAGGAUGAUCAGCCACACUGGAACUGAGACACGGUCCAGACUCCUACGGGAGGCAGCAGUAGGGAAUAUUGGACGAUGGGCGCAAGCCUGAUCCAGCCAUGCCGCGUGAGUGAAGAAGGCCCUCGGGUUGUAAAGCUCUUUUGUCCGGAAAGAAAAGCGCCGGGUUAAUACCCUGGUGUCCUGACGGUACCGGAAGAAUAAGCACCGGCUAACUUCGUG